This 77-nucleotide transfer RNA is filed under the name Acidobacteriota bacterium. RNAcentral describes it as "tRNA-Met". It matches the Rfam family "tRNA". Rfam says of the family: Transfer RNA (tRNA) molecules are approximately 80 nucleotides in length. Their secondary structure includes four short double-helical elements and three loops (D, anti-codon, and T loops). Further hydrogen bonds mediate the characteristic L-shaped molecular structure. tRNAs have two regions of fundamental functional importance: the anti-codon, which is responsible for specific mRNA codon recognition, and the 3' end, to which the tRNAs corresponding amino acid is attached (by aminoacyl-tRNA synthetases). tRNAs cope with the degeneracy of the genetic code in two manners: having more than one tRNA (with a specific anti-codon) for a particular amino acid; and 'wobble' base-pairing, i.e. permitting non-standard base-pairing at the 3rd anti-codon position. RNAcentral also lists the same sequence under 3 other names. Lineage: Bacteria; Pseudomonadati; Acidobacteriota. The record is from RNAcentral.
GGCGGGGUAGCUCAGUUGGUCAGAGCGCGCGGUUCAUACCCGCGUUGUCGGCGGUUCGAAUCCGCCCCCCGCUACCA